This 433-nucleotide ribosomal RNA is filed under the name uncultured bacterium. RNAcentral's name for it is "partial 16S ribosomal RNA". It matches the Rfam family "Bacterial small subunit ribosomal RNA", at positions 29 to 507 of the family's 1533-position model. The record is from RNAcentral.
AACGAACGCUGGCGGCAUGCCUAACACAUGCAAGUCGAACGAGACCUUCGGGUCUAGUGGCGCACGGGUGCGUAACGCGUGGGAACCUGCCCUUAGGUUCGGAAUAACUCCCCGAAAGGGGUGCUAAUACCGGAUAAUGUCUUCGGACCAAAGAUUUAUCGCCUUUGGAUGGGCCCGCGUUGGAUUAGCUAGUUGGUAGGGUAAAAGCCUACCAAGGCGACGAUCCAUAGCUGGUCUGAGAGGAUGAUCAGCCACACUGGGACUGAGACACGGCCCAGACUCCUACGGGAGGCAGCAGUGGGGAAUAUUGGACAAUGGGCGAAGGCCUGAUCCAGCAAUGCCGCGUGAGUGAUGAAGGCCUUAGGGUUGUAAAGCUCUUUUACCCGGGAUGAUAAUGACAGUACCGAGAGAAUAAGCACCGGCUAACUCCGUG